This 74-nucleotide transfer RNA is filed under the name Pleomorphomonas diazotrophica. It matches the Rfam family "tRNA". From Rfam's summary of the family: Transfer RNA (tRNA) molecules are approximately 80 nucleotides in length. Their secondary structure includes four short double-helical elements and three loops (D, anti-codon, and T loops). Further hydrogen bonds mediate the characteristic L-shaped molecular structure. tRNAs have two regions of fundamental functional importance: the anti-codon, which is responsible for specific mRNA codon recognition, and the 3' end, to which the tRNAs corresponding amino acid is attached (by aminoacyl-tRNA synthetases). tRNAs cope with the degeneracy of the genetic code in two manners: having more than one tRNA (with a specific anti-codon) for a particular amino acid; and 'wobble' base-pairing, i.e. permitting non-standard base-pairing at the 3rd anti-codon position. The record is from Rfam by way of RNAcentral. Lineage: Bacteria; Pseudomonadati; Pseudomonadota; Alphaproteobacteria; Hyphomicrobiales; Pleomorphomonadaceae.
UGGCCUGUAGCUCAGGUGGUUAGAGCACACGCCUGAUAAGCGUGAGGUCAGUGGUUCGAGUCCACUCAGGCCAA